This 253-nucleotide ribosomal RNA is filed under the name uncultured bacterium. RNAcentral describes it as "partial 16S ribosomal RNA". It matches the Rfam family "Bacterial small subunit ribosomal RNA", at positions 524 to 776 of the family's 1533-position model. The record is from RNAcentral.
UACGUAGGGUGCAAGCGUUAAUCGGAAUUACUGGGCGUAAAGCGUGCGCAGGCGGCUUUGCAAGACAGAUGUGAAAUCCCCGGGCUUAACCUGGGAACUGCAUUUGUGACUGCAUGGCUGGAGUGCGGCAGAGGGGGAUGGAAUUCCGCGUGUAGCAGUGAAAUGCGUAGAUAUGCGGAGGAACACCAAUGGCGAAGGCAGCUUGCUGGGACGGUACUGACGCUGAGGCGCGAAAGCGUGGGGAGCAAACAGG